GGCAGUUCUCAGGUGAUGCACCCCAGGAUCGGGCUCCCUCCUCUCUGGUUCUAGGUGUGUUACCCGAGAACCACA
Myotis davidii is the source of this 75-nucleotide non-coding RNA. The record is from Rfam. Lineage: Eukaryota; Metazoa; Chordata; Mammalia; Chiroptera; Vespertilionidae.